Molecule: ribosomal RNA, 468 nt
Filed under: uncultured bacterium
Lineage: Bacteria
Description: partial 16S ribosomal RNA
Rfam family: Bacterial small subunit ribosomal RNA
Source: RNAcentral
GAUGAACGCUGGCGGCGUGCUUAACACAUGCAAGUCGAACGAAAAGACCAUGCUCUUGUUGGGUGCUCGAUAGGCGCACGGGUGAGUAACACACGAGUAACAUGUCCUUGUAUUAGGGAUAAAUUCAGGAAACACCGGCGAAUACCCGAUAGGAUCUCCUGCAGCACGGGGGGGGAUGGAAAGAUUCGGCGGUUGGGGCUGGAAUCGAGGCUUAUCAGCUUGUUGGGGGGGUAGUGGCUUACCAAGGCUUUGACGGGUAGCCGGCCUGAGAGGGUGACCGGCCACAUUGGGACUGAGAGACGGCCCAGACUCCUACGGGAGGCAGCAGUGGGGAAUAUUGCACAAUGGGCGGAGGCCGGAUGCAGCAACGCCGCGUGCGGGAUGACGGCCUUCGGGUGGUAAACCGCUUUCGCCUGUAACGAAGCGUGAGUGACGGUAACGGGUAAAGAAGCCCCGGCUAACUACGUG